RNAcentral lists this ribosomal RNA (491 nucleotides) under uncultured Lactobacillus sp. Its description in RNAcentral is "partial 16S ribosomal RNA". The record is from RNAcentral. Lineage: Bacteria; Bacillati; Bacillota; Bacilli; Lactobacillales; Lactobacillaceae.
CACGUAGUUAGCCGUGACUUUCUAGGUAAUUACCGUCAAAUAAAGGCCAGUUACUACCUCUAUCUUUCUUCACUACCAACAGAGCUUUACGAGCCGAAACCCUUCUUCACUCACGCGGCGUUGCUCCAUCAGACUUUCGUCCAUUGUGGAAGAUUCCCUACUGCUGCCUCCCGUAGGAGUUUGGGCCGUGUCUCAGUCCCAAUGUGGCCGAUCAGUCUCUCAACUCGGCUAUGCAUCAUUGCCUUGGUAAGCCGUUACCUUACCAACUAGCUAAUGCACCGCAGGUCCAUCCAAGAGUGAUAGCAGAACCAUCUUUCAAACUCUAGACAUGCGUCUAGUGUUGUUAUCCGGUAUUAGCAUCUGUUUCCAGGUGUUAUCCCAGUCUCUUGGGCAGGUUACCCACGUGUUACUCACCCGUCCGCCGCUCGCUUGUAUCUAGUUUCAUUUAGUGCAAGCACUAAAAUCAUCUAGGCAAGCUCGCUCGACUUGCA